GUUAAAAAGCUCGUAGUUGAAUUUCGGGGUUAGUAGGUCGGUCAUGCCUCUGGUAUGUACUGGUCUCACUGAUUCCUCCUUCCUGAUGAAUCUUAAUGCCAUUAAUUUGGUGUUUUGGGGAAUUUGGACUGGUACUUUGAAAAAAUUAGAGUGUUUAAAGCAAGCUAACGCAUGAAUACAUUAGCAUGGAAUAAUGAAAUAGGACGUUCGAUCCUAUUUUGUUGGUUUCUAGGAUUGACGUAAUGAUUAAUAGGGAUAGUUGGGGGCAUUAGUAUUCAAUUGUCAGAGGUGAAAUUCUUGGAUUUAUUGAAGACUAACUACUGCGAAAGCAUUUGCCAAGGAUGUUUUCAUUAAUCAAGAACGAAAGUUAGGGGAUCGAAGACGAUCAGAUACCGUCGUAGUCUUAACCAUAAACUAUGCCGACUAGGGAUCGGAUGAUGUUAAUUUUUUAAUGACUCAUUCGGCGC
This 467-nucleotide ribosomal RNA is filed under the name uncultured Glomus. RNAcentral's name for it is "SSU rRNA". It matches the Rfam family "Eukaryotic small subunit ribosomal RNA", at positions 618 to 1086 of the family's 1831-position model. Lineage: Eukaryota; Fungi; Glomeromycota; Glomeromycetes; Glomerales; Glomeraceae. The record is from RNAcentral.